Molecule: transfer RNA, 67 nt
Filed under: Heterocephalus glaber (naked mole-rat)
Lineage: Eukaryota; Metazoa; Chordata; Mammalia; Rodentia; Bathyergidae
Rfam family: tRNA
About the family: Transfer RNA (tRNA) molecules are approximately 80 nucleotides in length. Their secondary structure includes four short double-helical elements and three loops (D, anti-codon, and T loops). Further hydrogen bonds mediate the characteristic L-shaped molecular structure. tRNAs have two regions of fundamental functional importance: the anti-codon, which is responsible for specific mRNA codon recognition, and the 3' end, to which the tRNAs corresponding amino acid is attached (by aminoacyl-tRNA synthetases). tRNAs cope with the degeneracy of the genetic code in two manners: having more than one tRNA (with a specific anti-codon) for a particular amino acid; and 'wobble' base-pairing, i.e. permitting non-standard base-pairing at the 3rd anti-codon position.
Source: Rfam by way of RNAcentral
GGAUGUAGCUCAGUGGCAGAGAGCCUGCCUGGCAUGCAUGAGGCCCUGAGUUCAAUUCCCAGUAACC